This 1842-nucleotide ribosomal RNA is filed under the name Salmonella enterica. RNAcentral's name for it is "partial 23S ribosomal RNA". It matches the Rfam family "Bacterial large subunit ribosomal RNA", at positions 1188 to 2925 of the family's 2925-position model. The record is from RNAcentral. Lineage: Bacteria; Pseudomonadati; Pseudomonadota; Gammaproteobacteria; Enterobacterales; Enterobacteriaceae.
CAUGCACCGAAGCUGCGGCAGCGAACGUAUCACUUAAAGCGAUUCAGCGGGUUACGAUUGACGGAGCGAAGCGACGUCAAAGCGUAUACAAAGUCGAGUCGGUUUAAGGAUACGUUCGUUGGGUAGGGGAGCGUUCUGUAAGCCUGUGAAGGUGGCCUGUGAGGGUUGCUGGAGGUAUCAGAAGUGCGAAUGCUGACAUAAGUAACGAUAAAGCGGGUGAAAAGCCCGCUCGCCGGAAGACCAAGGGUUCCUGUCCAACGUUAAUCGGGGCAGGGUGAGUCGACCCCUAAGGCGAGGCCGAAAGGCGUAGUCGAUGGGAAACAGGUUAAUAUUCCCGUACUUGGUGUUACUGCGAAGGGGGGACGGAGAAGGCUAUGUUGGCCGGGCGACGGUUGUCCCGGUUUAAGCGUGUAGGUGUGUGUUCCAGGUAAAUCCGGUUCACUUUAACACUGAGGCGUGAUGACGAGGCACUACGGUGCUGAAGCAACAAAUGCCCUGCUUCCAGGAAAAGCCUCUAAGCAUCAGGUAACAUCAAAUCGUACCCCAAACCGACACAGGUGGUCAGGUAGAGAAUACCAAGGCGCUUGAGAGAACUCGGGUGAAGGAACUAGGCAAAAUGGUGCCGUAACUUCGGGAGAAGGCACGCUGACACGUAGGUGAAGUGAUUUACUCAUGGAGCUGAAGUCAGUCGAAGAUACCAGCUGGCUGCAACUGUUUAUUAAAAACACAGCACUGUGCAAACACGAAAGUGGACGUAUACGGUGUGACGCCUGCCCGGUGCCGGAAGGUUAAUUGAUGGGGUCAGCGCAAGCGAAGCUCCUGAUCGAAGCCCCGGUAAACGGCGGCCGUAACUAUAACGGUCCUAAGGUAGCGAAAUUCCUUGUCGGGUAAGUUCCGACCUGCACGAAUGGCGUAAUGAUGGCCAGGCUGUCUCCACCCGAGACUCAGUGAAAUUGAACUCGCUGUGAAGAUGCAGUGUACCCGCGGCAAGACGGAAAGACCCCGUGAACCUUUACUAUAGCUUGACACUGAACAUUGAGCCUUGAUGUGUAGGAUAGGUGGGAGGCUUUGAAGCGUGGACGCCAGUCUGCGUGGAGCCGACCUUGAAAUACCACCCUUUAAUGUUUGAUGUUCUAACGUGGACCCGUAAUCCGGGUUGCGGACAGUGUCUGGUGGGUAGUUUGACUGGGGCGGUCUCCUCCUAAAGAGUAACGGAGGAGCACGAAGGUUGGCUAAUCCUGGUCGGACAUCAGGAGGUUAGUGCAAUGGCAUAAGCCAGCUUGACUGCGAGCGUGACGGCGCGAGCAGGUGCGAAAGCAGGUCAUAGUGAUCCGGUGGUUCUGAAUGGAAGGGCCAUCGCUCAACGGAUAAAAGGUACUCCGGGGAUAACAGGCUGAUACCGCCCAAGAGUUCAUAUCGACGGCGGUGUUUGGCACCUCGAUGUCGGCUCAUCACAUCCUGGGGCUGAAGUAGGUCCCAAGGGUAUGGCUGUUCGCCAUUUAAAGUGGUACGCGAGCUGGGUUUAGAACGUCGUGAGACAGUUCGGUCCCUAUCUGCCGUGGGCGCUGGAGAACUGAGGGGGGCUGCUCCUAGUACGAGAGGACCGGAGUGGACGCAUCACUGGUGUUCGGGUUGUCAUGCCAAUGGCACUGCCCGGUAGCUAAAUGCGGAAGAGAUAAGUGCUGAAAGCAUCUAAGCACGAAACUUGCCCCGAGAUGAGUUCUCCCUGAGACUUAGAGUCUCCUGAAGGAACGUUGAAGACGACGACGUUGAUAGGCCGGGUGUGUAAGCGCAGCGAUGCGUUGAGCUAACCGGUACUAAUGAACCGUGAGGCUUAACCUU